This 199-nucleotide ribosomal RNA is filed under the name uncultured bacterium. Its description in RNAcentral is "partial 16S ribosomal RNA". It matches the Rfam family "Bacterial small subunit ribosomal RNA", at positions 1294 to 1500 of the family's 1533-position model. The record is from RNAcentral.
CGGAUUGGAGUCUGCAACCCGACUCCAUGAAGCUGGAUUCGCUAGUAAUCGCGCAUCAGCCACGGCGCGGUGAAUACGUUCCCGGGCCUUGUACACACCGCCCGUCAAGCCAUGGAAGCCGGGAGUGCCUGAAGUGCGUGACCGCAAGGAGCGUCCUAAGGCAAUACCGGUGACUGGGGCUAAGUCGUAACAAGGUAGC